This 485-nucleotide ribosomal RNA is filed under the name uncultured bacterium. Its description in RNAcentral is "bacterial SSU rRNA". It matches the Rfam family "Bacterial small subunit ribosomal RNA", at positions 28 to 514 of the family's 1533-position model. The record is from RNAcentral.
GAUGAACGCUAGCGGGAGGCCUAAUACAUGCAAGUCGAGCGGUAGAGUGACUUCGGUUGCUUGAGAGCGGCGAACGGGUGAGUAACGCGUACACAAUCUACCUUUAAGAGGGGAAUAGCCCUGGGAAACUGGGAUUAAUGCCCCAUGGCAUCACGAGACGGCAUCGUUUUGUGAUUAAAGCUGAGGUGCUUAGAGAUGAGUGUGCGUCUGAUUAGCUAGUUGGUGCGGUAACGGCGCACCAAGGCGACGAUCAGUAGGGGGCGUGAGAGCGUGGACCCCCACACGGGUACUGAGACACGGACCCGACUCCUACGGGAGGCAGCAGUAAGGAAUAUUGGUCAAUGGAGGAAACUCUGAACCAGCCAUCCCGCGUGCAGGAAGAAUGCCCUAUGGGUUGUAAACUGCUUUUAUCUGGAAGAAAAGUCGGGAUUUAUCCUGAUCUGACGGUACCAGAGGAAUAAGCACCGGCUAACUCGUGCCAGCAG